RNAcentral lists this long non-coding RNA (502 nucleotides) under Vigna radiata. RNAcentral describes it as "long non-coding RNA (VRAD_LNC013512)". The record is from RNAcentral. Lineage: Eukaryota; Viridiplantae; Streptophyta; Magnoliopsida; Fabales; Fabaceae.
AAAAUAUUUUAAAAAGAAUAUUUUCUUUUUAUUUUGUUAAAAAGAAAAAAGAAGAAAAGAAAAAAAAAGAAAGAAGAAGAGAAAUGAAAAAAAAACAGAAAAAAAAGAAGAAGAAAAAAAAAAGAGAAAAGAAAGUUCACCUUGAGUAUCUCACGGAUGUGCUGAUUCCAUUUUAAAAUGAAAGAUGUUGAUUUAAUUGGAGAGGAGUUGCAUCCAACAACAGCCACGGACCAUGACAAAUAGGAGCUGCACAAAGCAAAUUUUGUUGUAUCUUCAUCUGAGUGCUGCACCACGGCCCAAAAGAAAAAUAUGUUGCAGCCACAAUGCCACCCUGUUAUUUACAGGGGGACACCACUUGAAUGAAAGCACGCAACCCUAGGAUAUCAGGGGCAGNCAGCNGCCACUUAUUAUUUCUUGGCCUCUUAGGUUUGGUUAGAAAUUUUUUGGAGAAAAAUGGCAUAUGAUAUACAGUGAAGGGCUGCAGCAGCCAACGUUUCUUUUU